GGGAAAUGCAAUGCCUCCUGGACAGCCUCUUUCCAGUAAUAACCUUGCUCUUUGAAAAUGAGAGCACACGUUUGAUAGCCAGACGACCAUACCAGCCAUAUCAACUAGAUACAUAGUAUCCCCUCAUGUAGUGGAGAAAGGUGAGUCAUUUCCUCAAUGCCACACAAACAGAAGUGGAAGAUCUUGCUCCAUGCCAGAUAUUUUUGUAGACGUUUAAUGCGUUUGUUUUUCAUUUAAAUUUAAGGCAAAGAUUCUUCAAGUGAAAUGAGUUCGAUGAAGCAAAAUUAAGGUGGCUGCCCAACUACUAGAAUUAAGACAACAGAAAACCGUUAAAAGGAAGAAACUUUUUAGGUAAGGGCCAGGAAUGAACUCCAAGGUACGUUGUUACAUGAAGAAGAAACAGUAGGUGAAUAUGAUACAAUUUGUACUUAAAAAAAAAAUUCUCUUCCAACCAUGCAUGAGUUCUCAUACAUCCAUCCAUCGUCUGUCUCUGGAAGGAGGAUACUUGGUGCAGUGGUUUCCUCUGGGGAAAGGAACUGAGGCUUGGAGAGAUAUUUACCUUUCAUUAUGUACUCAUUUAUGCCUUUUUAAUAUUUUAUUAUGUUCAAGUAAUUCUUGUAAAAAUUCUAAAUUUAAGUAAAACCACAAAAAGUAUCAGGAGAUAACAUAACCUUUUGAGAAUUGCUGUUCUUUUGACAGAUUGGAGAAAACUCCUUAGUGCUGACCUUCCUCCCACACUCUUGGCAACCAUCAGUAGCCUGCAAGUCUAUCAUUCCUGACUCCUUUGGACUUGAAACUGUAGUGACUCCUGGCAACCUUAGGGAACAUUGCCCCUGGUCCCGUUGCUAAUAAACAAUUCUUUGACAUGGUUCUGCUUCCCCAUUUCCUGGAAAUUGAGCCAUCCAGGUUGACUAAGCACCAACCAAACCCUCUCAAAUUUACCACUUGUGCCUG
Molecule: long non-coding RNA, 954 nt
Filed under: Lynx pardinus (Iberian lynx)
Lineage: Eukaryota; Metazoa; Chordata; Mammalia; Carnivora; Felidae
Source: RNAcentral